This 440-nucleotide ribosomal RNA is filed under the name uncultured bacterium. RNAcentral describes it as "partial 16S ribosomal RNA". It matches the Rfam family "Bacterial small subunit ribosomal RNA", at positions 338 to 795 of the family's 1533-position model. The record is from RNAcentral.
CCUACGGGAGGCAGCAGUGGGGAAUAUUGCACAAUGGGGGAAACCCUGAUGCAGCGACGCCGCGUGAGCGAUGAAGUAUUUCGGUAUGUAAAGCUCUAUCAGCAGGGAAGAAGAUGACGGUACCUGCCUAAGAAGCCCCGGCUAACUACGUGCCAGCAUCCGCGGUAAUACGUAGGGGGCAAGCGUUAUCCGGAUUCACUGGGCGUAAAGGGAGCGCAGGCGGCAUGGCAAGUCUGAUGUGAAAACCCGGGGCCCAACCCCGGGAGUGCAUUGGAAACUGCCAGGCUGGAGUGUCGGAGGGGUAAGCGGAAUUCCUGGUGUAGCGGUGAAAUGCGUAGAUAUUAGGAGGAACAUCAGUGGCGAAGGCGACUAUCUGGCACAUAACUGACGCUGAGGAGCGAAAGCGUGGGUAGCAAACAGGAUUAGAUACCCCAGUAGUC